Molecule: ribosomal RNA, 250 nt
Filed under: uncultured prokaryote
Description: partial 16S ribosomal RNA
Rfam family: Bacterial small subunit ribosomal RNA
Source: RNAcentral
UACGUAGGGGGCAAGCGUUGUCCGGAAUGAUUGGGCGUAAAAGGCGCGUAGGCGGCCUUUUAAGUCUGAAGUGAAAGUCCUGUUUUUAAGAUGGGAAUUGCUUUGGAUACUGGAAGGCUUGAGUGCAGGAGAGGUAAGUGGAAUUCCCAGUGUAGCGGUGAAAUGCGUAGAGAUUGGGAGGAACACCAGUGGCGAAGGCGACUUACUGGACUGUAACUGACGCUGAGGCGCGAAGGUGCGGGUAUCGAAC